CCCACGGCAGAAAAAAUAGUGAACUCGAAAAUUGAUGAUCCACCGUGAAAGAUUUACCAAUUUACUCUACUUCAAUCGUAUUGAUUAAAAUACCAAAUCGGUGAUAUUCCGAUUACAACUGCUACAUGUUACAUAUAUAUACAUAUAACACAAGUAUUAUAAUCGCAAGAAAUUCAUCUGGCCUCAAAAAAGCAAGUAAUUAAGAAACAAAUUAACAUAAAUGAAAAUAAAAUGCAACAAUACGCUACUGACAAAUCUCGAUUUUCCUCAAUGUCGGUUAAACAAACCGAAGAAAUCGUUAGGGUGAAUAGGAAACCACGAAUGGGGGAAAAACAAAACAAAUCGAUAUGUUUUACCUGAUGUUUCGUUUCUCUCUUGUUAUAAUUCAAAAUAAAAAUAUCGCCAGCCAUACAAUUUUCAAUAUGGAUGAGUCACAUCGUUGCGUGCAAUGCAUGUAUACAGUAAAAAUAUGCGCGACUAGAGUCGCGAUCUUCACGAACACGUCUUUCAGUAUGGUAACUUUUGUGGGACAUUUAAACAAUCAAGCGUUGACACAGCUGGUGUCACGUGAUCAACGGCUGGCCAUUUUACCAGAGAAAAUACCGAUAUGGAAACGUAUAUAAAUGAUCGUGCCUGGUGCAGCAUUCGUGUGUAAUGUCCGUCUAGUUCGGGGCACUAAGCAACAUGUUCAAGUUUGCGGUGUUCUUCUUAGUCGCGUUGACGACGUUCGUAUUGGCGGAUGCACAAUGCAGCGAACCGUGCGCCAAGUAUGGCGCCGAAUGCAAAACUUGCGGUACGUGCAACGCUACCUGCCUCAACCCAAACCCUAUUUGUUCCCAGGUAUGCAGAGUAGGUUGUUUCUGCCCUACCGGUACGGUUUAUAAUUCUAAUGGCUACUGCGUUAAUCCUUCGGCAUGUUGACUUGCGAAAUAGUCGACGGAAAUUGUUGUACAGAGAAUAUAAUCGAGAAAUUUUUACGUCCAAAAUAUGUACCGCGUUAAAAUUAUGACAAAUUGUAUCGAUGAAUAAAAAAGAACCAACGAUCAAUCUAGUCAUUCAAUAUCAAAUUUAAAUGAAGAAACAUUUGCGGCUCCCGCUACUUUCGAUUUUUCUUUGAAAGUUGCUUGUUCGACGCUAUAAUGUUUCCAGAAAUAAUAUUUCAACGAUGGUCAUUUUAUGGGGGGCUUAACAGAGGCAUAUAAGUACUGCACUGGAAAAGGAAACUACAGAGACAAUAACAGACCGUCAAAGUCAAGAUGAUUACGUUGGCGUUGAUAGAAUCUGCACUUUUUACAGGUUUUUAUAGUCACCUUCCUUGUCAGAUGAAAUACAAAAUCAAGUAAGUGCGAUUCCGGAUACUACCAAGUCAGCCAAAGCUUCAACGAUACUUUCGACCCGAGAAGUGAGGGUUCUCCACAACACUGAGGAACCAGAAUUCAAUGUGCCCGAUGUACCCUUGUACCUAAAAUAUAUAACGUAUCAUACUUUGUAGGAAAAUAUUAUUACCGCCAACGCAUUGUUGACGGUAGAUCGUGGUAGACGAUCAUAUAAACAGUCUUUCAAUUGUCCGAAACUACCUCGAUAGGUGUACAAGUCCAGUAAAGACAAACGCGGCAUGACAAAAAUAUGUUCGUUUGUCGGUAAAGCCUGUUGAUUCAGAGUGUCAAGUGUUCUCUUUUCAUCCAAAAAUGUAUGUAAACUUCACAGAAGUCGAAAAGUUGUCAAAACCGAAGCGAAUCGAAGUCGAGAUGAUGGCAUCAACGUUCCUUAUUCCUUUCAUCGCGGGGAUCUUUCUGAUAGCCACCGUUGUAAAACCUGCGGAUGCCAAAGCAUGUGCGUCAUUAUGUGGACCUCAUUCGACGCCAUCAAACUGCUCACCGUGCAAUGAGAGUUGCGAUGAAAUUAAGAUGGCUUGUCCGUUGUUAUGCUCCGCAAAGCCCAUUUACUGUAGCUGUGAUUCUGGAUUCUGCCGAAACAGCAAAGGUGAUUGCGUGAAGAAGCCGGCAAAGUGCGAUUGAGCACGAUAAUCGACCAUGCAUGCAGUAGACUUCCAUGAUGUAAAAUGAAUUACGAAUUCAGCGGAAGCGAUGUCUAUGUUCAAAUCUACAAGAAUUUUUUUGCAUGCAACUAUUCGGUUUAUAUAAGCCGCUGAUUGCGUUUAUUAAAAUUAUGUUAUGCUGACCGAUGUGUUUUGUACUGUUAUAUGGAUGUUGAUGCGAUAAUCUGACCUUGUGUGAUGAGAUAAAAGUGCAAUUUGCGAAAAUAUAGGGUGUUCUUAUCACUACCGCAUCACUCGGAAUAAUACGUUGAAAACCUAUUUAACCAGAGUGAAUAACACUUCUUAUGGUUACGUUCAAUCGACUACUGUCCACGUUGACGAGAAUGUAAAGGUUGACCAUUAAAAUAGGUGCCUAUAGGUCAGCCAAUAAGUGAUAUUGUGUUUUUAGAAAUAACACGAUAUGAACAAGAAUCCUCGAAUAAAAGUGACACUGGGCAACGCUUUCCUGAAGUUACUAAAUAAGAGACUGUCGACACCAACGGAGCUGUCUAUAAACGGCGUUAGCUCAGGAACUGCUCAUUUCACGCAUCGAUAUCAGGAUGAAACCAGUGUCAGCAUUCUUGGUCCUAAUUGCGGGUGUUCUGACAAUUUUUGUCCUUGGGGCCCAGAGUCAAUCUGAGUGCGGGUCCGGAAUGUACGCCAGGAACUGUACACCUUGUAAUGUAGUAUGUGGUGGAUUUGGCGGAGAUUGCAGAGGCUCCUGCGGCAGCCAGGAUAUAUACUGCCAGUGUGACUCUGGGUAUGUUCUUCCCUACGAAAACGCAAGCUGCUGCGUACCGAGAGAUAAUUGCUCUACUGCGACAUGCUGAAGAUAUUGAUGGUGUUUCGGAACUUAAUUAGCAUGUAAAAACUACUUAGGAUUAACUACGUUAUUCUGAUAACUGGGAUAUAGCUUUUGAGAACCAUAAACAUGCACUAGAAAAAUAUAACAAUUUGAACUGCUUUGAAGUCCUUUGAUAUAAGUCUCAUGCCUCAGCGGCGAAUCAAUGGGUCAAUCUCUCUAAAUAUUGGAGUGUUGGUAAACAUGCUGCUUGUAACAUGAUUUAAUCCAUGGCAACAUCUGUAACUCAUGGCACAGUUGCAGAAAAUUGAUGACCAACAAUCGAAUCCACAAAUUUUUACCCCUGAAUUUUAUAACGAACAUUUAUGAAUCCCCACUCUCACGAAAGUGUCCCUGAAAGUUGCGCGUUCGACGUUAUCGUGUUAGCAAAAUAAUAAUAUGUUGACAUUCUACGACCAGCGUUUGAAAGAAGCAUAUAAGUAGUGCGCUAGAACCGGUAAAACACAGUGACAUUAAAAUCGUCCCCAAGUCAAGAUGGCUACAUUAGCCUUGCUGGUGUCUGCAGUCACGGGUUUGUUCCUAAUACUCUUGUUGACGAAAAAUACCGAGGCUGCUGUUAGUUGCGGACCUAACUCUAGCCUUUCCAAUUGUACGACGUGCAACGAGCUUUGUAGCGGACGGGUGAGGCCUUGCGCAGAGGUUUGCUCUGACCAAUACGUCGCUUGCAAGUGCGAUGUUGGAUACUACCAAGUCAGUCAAAGUAACGUUACUUGCAUCUCGGAGAGCGAGUGUCCUUCCUAACGCUCACGAAGUAUGUAUCGUGUGUUCCUGAUACAUGGAUUUACAGCUGAAAUAAUGUAUUGUACUUUUUAAUAAAAUCGCUUUCGCUGUAUUGUUAUACCACGAUAUUCGUCAUUCAUGAGAGAGGAGAACGAUGGAAGGUGUUGUAUCCCGAAUUUUUAUCUUCCAAUUUAUUUUAUUACGGUUAUUUAUUUAUUUGGUUCGUUGCGAGAAGUCUUGUUAAUUUAUCGUAAGAUAAAUUGGUGAUUUGUUUAAGAUGUUUCCUUUUUAGUUCUGUCGAUUUCUGAAAUCUCCAGCUGGUUAAAUCCUGGUCUUUAGUUCUCUGGAAGACGUAACCUUUUAGAUGAACUAAAGUUGCCAGAAUUUCUCUGAUGAACUUUGACGACAGAGGUGAAACGACUUAAAUUGAAUAAUGAAUUCAAAUAAACUUUUCCAGUUGACUUGAUGAUACCAACUAUAUGAAAUUCGUAAAUAACUUUAUUUAUUAUUCACAAAACGUCGCAAUUUCUACAACAUCUUUUACCGAAUGCCUUCUCUCCUCCCUUUUCACAACGAUCCCGUGAAAAGAGCGUUGUUUAUUAAACUCGAACUUAUUUUCUACCAAUGAAACAUUUAAAAAUAGCUCCAAGUUAACUUGGAACUAAUUUACGAACUAUAAAUCAAUGAACAAGCCCUUCCUACACAAACGUCGAGUUGGCCAAAGUUAUUAAAAUUAUCUCAUACUCGUCAGUAUAUUUCUGAAUAAUAUUCUUGUAAAGCGAUUGUCUGAUCUCGUAUGAAAAAGUAAAAAUGUAACUUGCUGAACAAUUCCACGUUUUGAUAAACACACAGGCCGAUAAUUUUUUAUUCAAGCAAAUAUACUUUGUCAAAUUUUACGUGCUUUGAAAAGAAACGAAAGAUGAGUGAAAACCCGGGAAUAUCAGUGACAGUCUUGUUUGCAGUUAGUAAGAGAACGAAACAAUGUAAACAUAGAUUCAGCUUAUUUUCAUGCGGUUUGCAAGGACGCGAAAAUAUUUGUAUCUAUCUUGUAAUUGCAUUUACUCAUCAAUGAUGCAUCGAAUAAUCAUCUGUUUGAAUAAAAGUAUUUAAUCAGACAUGUUUAUGCGAUUCCUAAUUGGUAUUUCAGAAUAACACAGAAAUAUUUUGAGAAUAAACAUCGAACGAUAACAAAUAUGCUUCAGUCACCGAGUUGCAUUUGCAACUGUACACCUUGCAAGCGAAAAAAAUAACCGUAGUAUUAUCUUAAAGUUAUGUCACAAUCUUUGCAUAUCGGUGAAGUAAAAAGCCAGAAGCACACGUCGGCACAAUAAACAUGUUUUGUUGGUUUGGCGCCGAUACUGUCUUGACUAUUUCCAUAUAUUUGUAAAGGAGCAGCCGCCGUCAACGAAGCCAUAUUAAUCCGCGUCAGCCGAGAAAGCGCUUACUUUCCACAUCGAUACCAAGAUGAAAGCAUCGUCGACAGUCUCGGUCUUAGUUGCACAGGUUCUGCUGAUUAUCGCGAUAGGUGCCCAGGAUGAAGGUCAUUGCGGGCCCGGAAUGAAUCCUGUGAACUGUACAUCGUGCGAACCACCUUGCGGUAUAAUGCCAGGAGCUUGCGAGGCGGAAUGCUCAAACGAGACUAUAUACUGCAGGUGUGACUUUGGGCUCAUUGCUCCGUACCAAAACGCGCCAUGCUGCGUCGCGAAUUGCUCGAUUACGACCUGCUGAAGAUAUCGACGAGGAUUCGAGUCUCGAGGACGACGUGAAAUCAGCGAGUGGAAUUAUUUCUACUGUACCUAAUAUCUAGUUUUUGUUAUUAAUAAAUUUGGAAGAAAAAAAAAGUGACUCCCAUCUAGCAGCAGCCUGUAGAAUUGAACCACUUUGAAGUCCUUUAAUAUCGCGAAUGGAGGCGUGUAGUUUAAUACAAGCCUAACCGGCGAAUUAAUCGCAUGACUGAAUAUCUUUAUUAAUUAAGGAUGCGGUUAAUAACUUGGCUGGAUCGCACUCGUCCCCCACCCCCCCAUCCAUCCGCAAGGCUCUAACUUUGAAAACUGGGGCUCGUCAUAUUAAAGCAAUUUGUCGUUAACAGAAUUUAACGCCACUCGACGUUCGCGCAGGCAGGUGUAUUCGUGUAAUGCCCACACCAUCCAUAUCUCGUUAUUAUUAUAUGCGCCAAGCAGGCAUCCUCGAUGAAGAAUUUUGAUAUUCGAAUUAAGCAAAUCCGUGAAUUAUUAAAAAAAAAAAACAAUAAACCUGCUUUCUAAUCUGCAGACGGAAUCUCCCUGAGUGUAAUAAAUUCUUUGCAGCUAGAUUGUAUGUAUGAGGCGUUCCUUGCCGAACCGACCCAUCUUUCGCCAUCUUUCUCAGAAAAACCGUGUCUAAGAUUUUUGGACCACGAAUCUGAUUUUUACUGCUCCCAAAAACAUGAACACCCAAUUUUCGAUUGGUUUCAAAUUUUUCUCACUAAUUCUCUGUCACAAUACGAUUCUUUAGCCUGUAGAUUUCAAGCCGCAAGCUUGUCCACUUCCAUCUCGGUAUUAAAAACUAUCGUUUUUCAACAAAGAAUUGAUGAGAAAAAUUUAAAACCAAUCUUAAACAAAUUCAUUUUAUAAUUAUAACAAGUCAUAAUACGUAAUAUAUGUAGUUCCACUUUAAAGGCACCCUUUUUUUCAGCAAAAAUUAAUUUGCAAACGGUUGAAAAUUAAUUAAACGACAUGAUUUUAUAUUUUGUGACGCAUAUAGUAUUUUCGCUGUUAAUCUCUAAAAAAAAAAUGAAUUUUCACAUAUUUUAAACUUGAACUCUGAAUAACUUUUGAAAUAGUUGAGUUAUCAAAAAAUCAUAACAGACCUUUUUUGCAGAGCAUUGAAUUUCCCACAUAAAUAUGUAUCAGACAUUUGUGUACACUGUUCCACUACUGAGUUAUAAAAUUCAGAAAUAACCAAAAUGAUUUUCACCUGUUAAUUAAACGGCGAGUUGAAUGUCGCGUUCAGGAACCACUAAAUAUUGAUAUUAAGGACUCAAAUUAUAGCAGGCGUCUCAUUUCUCAUUCCUAUACAAAUAUUAAACGUGA
This is an RNA transcript of Neodiprion fabricii, 6691 nucleotides long. It is a transcript of the gene named serine protease inhibitor 2-like, with no coding region annotated. Lineage: Eukaryota; Metazoa; Arthropoda; Insecta; Hymenoptera; Diprionidae. The record is from RefSeq and is a predicted model, not a curated record. The transcript is spliced from 12 exons.